Molecule: ribosomal RNA, 253 nt
Filed under: uncultured bacterium
Lineage: Bacteria
Description: partial 16S ribosomal RNA
Rfam family: Bacterial small subunit ribosomal RNA
Source: RNAcentral
UACGUAGGGUGCAAGCGUUGUCCGGAAUUAUUGGGCGUAAAGAGCUCGUAGGCGGUUUGUCGCGUCGAAUGUGAAAACCCGGGGCUCAACCCCGGGCCUGCAUUCGAUACGGGCAGACUAGAGUUCGGUAGGGGAGUCUGGAAUUCCUGGUGUAGCGGUGAAAUGCGCAGAUAUCAGGAGGAACACCGGUGGCGAAGGCGGGUCUCUGGGCAACAACUGACGCUGAGGAGCGAAAGCGUGGGGAGCAAACAGG